Molecule: unclassified non-coding RNA, 378 nt
Filed under: uncultured bacterium
Lineage: Bacteria
Description: contains 16S-23S intergenic spacer region
Source: RNAcentral
UCCGAGUUGACCCCGGCAGUCUCGUGCGAGUCCCCGCCAUACGCGCUGGCAACACAGGACAAGGGUUGCGCUCGUUGCGGGACUUAACCCAACAUCUCACGACACGAGCUGACGACAGCCAUGCACCACCUGUGAACCGGCCCCAAAGGGGAAACCACAUUUCUGCGGCGAUCCGGCCCAUGUCAAGCCUUGGUAAGGUUCUUCGCGUUGCAUCGAAUUAAUCCACAUGCUCCACCGCUUGUGCGGGCCCCCGUCAAUUCCUUUGAGUUUCAGCCUUGCGGCCGUACUCCCCAGGCGGGGCACUUCAUGCGUUAGCGCCGGUACCCUGAGGGUCGCUCCCCAAAGCACCUAGUGCCCAUCGUUUACGGCGUGGACUAC